AAAAAUAUCCAAACAUAACUGAAA
Molecule: small nuclear RNA, 24 nt
Filed under: Arabidopsis thaliana (thale cress)
Lineage: Eukaryota; Viridiplantae; Streptophyta; Magnoliopsida; Brassicales; Brassicaceae
Description: snRNA_15523
Source: RNAcentral